UCGAACGAGUUCUCGUUGAUGAUCGGUGCUUGCACCGAGAUUCAACAUGGAACGAGUGGCGGACGGGUGAGUAACACGUGGGUAACCUGCCCUUAAGUGGGGGAUAACAUUUGGAAACAGAUGCUAAUACCGCAUAGAUCCAAGAACCGCAUGGUUCUUGGCUGAAAGGUGGCGUAAGCUAUCGCUUUUGGAUGGACCCGCGGCGUAUUAGCUAGUUGGUGAGGUAAUGGCUCACCAAGGCGAUGAUACGUAGCCGAACUGAGAGGUUGAUCGGCCACAUUGGGACUGAGACACGGCCCAAACUCCUACGGGAGGCAGCAGUAGGGAAUCUUCCACAAUGGACGCAAGUCUGAUGGAGCAACGCCGCGUGAGUGAAGAAGGCUUUCGGGUCGUAAAACUCUGUUGUUGGAGAAGAAUGGUCGGCAGAGUAACUGUUGUCGGCGUGACGGUAUCCAACCAGAAAGCCACGGCUAACUACGUGCCAGCAGCCGCGGUAAUACGUAGGUGGCAAGCGUUAUCCGGAUUUAUUGGGCGUAAAGCGAGCGCAGGCGGUUUUUUAAGUCUGAUGUGAAAGCCCUCGGCUUAACCGAGGAAGCGCAUCGGAAACUGGGAAACUUGAGUGCAGAAGAGGACAGUGGAACUCCAUGUGUAGCGGUGAAAUGCGUAGAUAUAUGGAAGAACACCAGUGGCGAAGGCGGCUGUCUGGUCUGUAACUGACGCUGAGGCUCGAAAGCAUGGGUAGCGAACAGGAUU
RNAcentral lists this ribosomal RNA (753 nucleotides) under uncultured bacterium. Its description in RNAcentral is "bacterial SSU rRNA". It matches the Rfam family "Bacterial small subunit ribosomal RNA", at positions 62 to 779 of the family's 1533-position model. The record is from RNAcentral.